AGAAAAUUCGAUUCCCUUAGUAGCGGCGAGCGAAACGGGAAGAGCCCAAACCAACAAGCUUGCUUGUUGGGGUUGUAGGACACUCUAUACGGAGUUACAAAGGACGACAUUAGACGAAUCAUCUGGAAAGAUGAAUCAAAGAAGGUAAUAAUCCUGUAGUCGAAAAUGUUGUCUCUCUUGAGUGGAUCCUGAGUACGACGGAGCACGUGAAAUUCCGUCGGAAUCUGGGAGGACCAUCUCCUAAGGCUAAAUACUCUCUAGUGACCGAUAGUGAACCAGUACCGUGAGGGAAAGGUGAAAAGCACCCCGGAAGGGGAGUGAAAUAGAACCUGAAACCGUGUGCUUACAAGUAGUCAGAGCCCGUUAAUGGGUGAUGGCGUGCCUUUUGUAGAAUGAACCGGCGAGUUACGAUUUGAUGCAAGGUUAAGCAGUAAAUGUGGAGCCGUAGCGAAAGCGAGUCUGAAUAGGGCGUUUAGUAUUUGGUCGUAGACCCGAAACCAGGUGAUCUACCCUUGGUCAGGUUGAAGUUCAGGUAACACUGAAUGGAGGACCGAACCGACUUACGUUGAAAAGUGAGCGGAUGAACUGAGGGUAGCGGAGAAAUUCCAAUCGAACCUGGAGAUAGCUGGUUCUCUCCGAAAUAGCUUUAGGGCUAGCCUCAAGUGAUGAUUAUUGGAGGUAGAGCACUGUUUGGACGAGGGGCCCCUCUCGGGUUACCGAAUUCAGACAAACUCCGAAUGCCAAUUAAUUUAACUUGGGAGUCAGAACAUGGGUGAUAAGGUCCGUGUUCGAAAGGGAAACAGCCCAGACCACCAGCUAAGGUCCCAAAAUAUAUGUUAAGUGGAAAAGGAUGUGGCGUUGCCCAGACAACUAGGAUGUUGGCUUAGAAGCAGCCAUCAUUUAAAGAGUGCGUAAUAGCUCACUAGUCGAGUGACACUGCGCCGA
This 945-nucleotide ribosomal RNA is filed under the name Staphylococcus aureus. RNAcentral's name for it is "partial 23S ribosomal RNA". It matches the Rfam family "Bacterial large subunit ribosomal RNA", at positions 224 to 1167 of the family's 2925-position model. The record is from RNAcentral. Lineage: Bacteria; Bacillati; Bacillota; Bacilli; Caryophanales; Staphylococcaceae.